RNAcentral lists this non-coding RNA (23 nucleotides) under Cricetulus griseus (Chinese hamster). Lineage: Eukaryota; Metazoa; Chordata; Mammalia; Rodentia; Cricetidae. The record is from RNAcentral.
AGGCUUAGAAGGGAUCUGUAGUU